GCAUAUCAAUAAGCGGAGGAAAAAGAAACUAACAAGGAUUCCCCUAGUAACGGCGAGUGAAGCGGGAAGAGCUCAAAUUUAAAAAUCUGGUUUGCUUUGCAAAUCCGAGUUGUAGUCUGAAGAAACGUUUUCCAUGAAAGCUGAGGCACAAGUCCUUUGGAACAGGGCAUCAUAGAGGGUGAGAAUCCCGUCCAUGGUCUCAAGCCUUUCAUUUUGUGAUACGUUUUCUAAGAGUCAGGUUGUUUGGGAAUGCAGCCUAAAAUGGGUGGUAAAUUUCAUCUAAAGCUAAAUAUUGGCGAGAGACCGAUAGCGAACAAGUACCGUGAGGGAAAGAUGAAAAGAACUUUGAAAAGAGAGUUAAAAAGUACGUGAAAUUGUUGAAAGGGAACCGUUUGAAGCCAGUCUUGCUUGCUUGUGAUCAAUCUUUGCUUCGGCUUGGAUGCACUCUCAGGUUAUGCAGGUCAACGUCAGUUUGAGAGGUGGGAAAAAAGCUUGAGGAAUGUGGCCUUUGGGUGUUAUAGCCUCUUGCUAAAUACCAUCUUUUGGACUGAGGCUCGCAGCAAAAAUGUGGGCAGGUUUGCGUUUGAGGUGAUACAUUAUUAAGACAGCUUGCUGACUUAGUUUUGUCUAUCUUCACUGUAAGCUUCGCUUCUAAUUUGCUUAGGUCGUUGACAUAAUGGCUUUAAAUGACCCGUCUUGAAACACGGACCAAGGAGUCUAACAUAUAUGCGAGUAUUUGGGUGGCAAACCCACAUGCGCAAUGAAAGUGAAAUUAGGUGCCAAACUCUCACGAGUGGCAGCAUCGGCCGGCUCUGACGUUUCUAACUGACGAGUCUGAGCAGAAGCAUACAUGUUGGGACCCGAAAGAUGGUGAACUAUGCCUGAAUAGGGUGAAGCCAGAGGAAACUACUGGUGGAGGCUCGUAGCGAUUCUGACGUGCAAAUCGAUCGUCAAAUUUGGGUAUAGGGGCGAAAGACUAAUCGAACCAUCUAGUAGCUGGUUUCCUGCGA
Molecule: ribosomal RNA, 1010 nt
Filed under: Umbelopsis nana
Lineage: Eukaryota; Fungi; Mucoromycota; Umbelopsidomycetes; Umbelopsidales; Umbelopsidaceae
Description: LSU rRNA
Rfam family: Eukaryotic large subunit ribosomal RNA
Source: RNAcentral